UAGGGAAUAUUGCAAAUGGGCGAAAGCCUGACGUAGCAACGCCGCGUGUGCGAUGAAGGUCUUCGGAUUGUAAAGCACUUUUUGGAGGGAUGAGGAAGGACAGUACCUCCAGAAUAAGCCUCGGCUAACUACGUGCCAGCAGCCGCGGUAACACGUAGGAGGCAAGCGUUAUUCGGAUUUACUGGGCGUAAAGCGCGUGCAGGCGGUUUGGAAAGUUGGAUGUGAAAGCUCCUGGCUCAACAGGGAGAGGUCGUUCAAAACUUCGAGACUUGAGAGUGGUAGAGGGAGGAGGAAUUGCGGGUGUAGUGGUGAACGGCGUAGAUAUCCGGA
This 330-nucleotide ribosomal RNA is filed under the name uncultured bacterium. RNAcentral describes it as "bacterial SSU rRNA". It matches the Rfam family "Bacterial small subunit ribosomal RNA", at positions 355 to 702 of the family's 1533-position model. The record is from RNAcentral.